Anneissia japonica is the source of this 1021-nucleotide long non-coding RNA. RefSeq lists it as uncharacterized. The transcript is spliced from 3 exons. The record is from RefSeq and is a predicted model, not a curated record. NCBI's taxonomy places the organism in Eukaryota, Metazoa, Echinodermata, Crinoidea, Comatulida, Comatulidae.
CAGUCGCAAUGAUGAGACAAAAUACCAUGACACUCUGGUCACAUAGGUAUUUGUCAGUCGCAAUGAUGAGACAAAAAUACCACAACAUUUGCCGUGAGUACAACCACCCAACAUUGGCAUUUACGAAAGAAGGUGGUACAAAGCAUACAAGCACCCAGCAAGACGUUGGCAAGAAACACUCUGGUUGUUUGCUGAAACUUGUAAUGGAAGCUACACACAAUUUAAGGAGCAAAUGACAUGCUCAAAUGGAUUUGAUGCUAACAGUUUCAUCUGUGUGGACAUGAUGAAAUGGACACGUCCAAGCCAUGGUUAGCAGAAGUUGGCAAUGCUCAGAGCUUUGCAGCAAGUGAUUGAGGCCAAAAUAUUUCAAAAGAAUUGAAUUAAAAUGCAUGCUGAUCAAUUUGAAUAUAUACUGUAGUUGAACUUGCCUAUGUGACGAGAGUGGGGAAGAUACAAAAAACAAUUUCAAUAACAGACUAGGUUUGGAAUGCUGACAAAACUUUCUUUCAUGAGUGAUGAGAUUGUCAAGAAAACAGAUCACAGAUGUCCCAUGAAUUUUCAAGAAUGAAUCCUUUACAAAGAUCUGUUGCAUUAAUGAGGAUGGACUUAUCAGGUAAUGCGGGACCUGGGCUGACUCAACCUCAUAUCCGAACGUAAGCCGAACCUGGGUCGGCUCGAGGUCGCCUUGAUUGCGGUCAAUUUUGCCUACCAUAACAUUACAAACUGACCGGCGCAAAAAAACCCCAAUUGAGAAAAAAAAAUGGUUAAGGAAAAGAUGUCGCAAAAUUCAGCAAGAGGGAAUUACUGGGAUGAGGAUGAGGUGUCUUUUAGCUGUGUGGACGGAGAGGGGCAUACAACAACAGAUGGAUGGCAGUGUAAGGAACGCAGUGGUGUUCAGAGAGGGCCAAGACCGGAGGUUAAUCCUCCCCAUGUGCUAGGUUCGUUGAACGAGGACAGGCCCGGCACUAGCUGCAACAACAAUAACGAUGAUGACAAUGAAACUGAUGAAGAAAUUGAAAAG